RNAcentral lists this ribosomal RNA (301 nucleotides) under uncultured bacterium. RNAcentral describes it as "partial 16S ribosomal RNA". It matches the Rfam family "Bacterial small subunit ribosomal RNA", at positions 509 to 807 of the family's 1533-position model. The record is from RNAcentral.
CAGUAGCCGCGGGAAAACGUAGGGAGCGAGCGUUAAUCGGAAUUACUGGGCGUAAAGGGCUCGCAGGCGGUUUCUUAAGUCUGAUGUGAAAGCCCCCGGCUCAACCUGGGAGGGUCAUUGGAAACUGGGAAACUUGAGUGCAGAAGAGGAGAGUGGAAUUCCACGUGUAGCGGUGAAAUGCGUAGAGAUGUGGAGGAACACCAGUGGCGAAGGCGACUCUCUGGUCUGUAACUGACGCUGAGGAGCGAAAGCGUGGGGAGCGAACAGGAUUAGAUACCCGCGUAGUCCCUGUCUCUUAUAC